CAAAACCUUUCACCCUCUCUCCCUCUCUCUCUCUCUCUCUCUCUCUCUCUCUCUCUUGUCUUCAUCAUCUACGGCCAACCAUGUCCACCAUAGGUGAGCUCAGUGAAUCAAGUUCUAUCUUUUCCCGAUGCCAAAGAGCCACAAUAAGAAGUAAAAAAAAAGAUUCAAAUGCUUUGUCUAUUUCACCAGGCUGGCUACACCAGAUGAGGAGUCCAGAAGUUGGGAAUAUGACUCUAUUGAUACUAAAGUUGAAGAGCCAAUCAUUGAUGUGUCUUUUGGAUCAGUUUUCACAUACUACUACUACUACUACUACUACUACUACUACUACUACUACUACUACUACUACUACUACUACUACUACUACUACUACUACUACGAGUUUUUUGGGUUCUCUUAUAUAUUAAAGUUGAAGAGCCAAUCAUUGAUGUGUCUUUUCGAUCAGUUUUCACAUUAUUCAAUUCAUUAACACUAAGUUUGAUAAGUGUAUCUUUCUUUUGAUUAUCUACAAUUGUGUACCUGAGUAGGUUGGUUAUAAUAUAAUGCUCUAUCUUUGUUUCUUUUUUUUUAUAUUUUUGGUUAAAUUUUACAGACUUGCCGAUUGCAACUCUUUUCCCUUUCAUGUAUUUCAUGGUAAGAGAUUUUUCAGCAACAAGCAGCUAGAUCAGACAGCAAACAACAUCAAAGGUAUACUAACCACCUAGAAACUACUCCAGGAGCAAAAACUAAAGAUGAUAAAAUAAUGGACAUGAAGACUUGAAGAUGGAGAGCUAAUGAUAAAAUAAUUCAAUUACAUGAAAAUGUCUCCCAUCCAAUUUUUCAUACUUCUAAUUAUUGAACAAUAGUUGUUUUUUUUUUUUUUUUUAAAUUAAGUAAAAGUUGCAUAAAGAGACAUUUUAUGCAUAUAUAACCAUUAAAAUUGCCUUGUUUUGUCAAGGAAAACAAUAUUUGUGAUGUCAAAUGCUAAGAGAAUUAUAUAAUUUCUUAAUUUAGACGAUCAAA
Humulus lupulus (European hop) is the source of this 999-nucleotide long non-coding RNA. RefSeq lists it as uncharacterized. The record is from RefSeq and is a predicted model, not a curated record. NCBI's taxonomy places the organism in Eukaryota, Viridiplantae, Streptophyta, Magnoliopsida, Rosales, Cannabaceae. The transcript is spliced from 4 exons.